This 254-nucleotide ribosomal RNA is filed under the name uncultured bacterium. Its description in RNAcentral is "partial 16S ribosomal RNA". It matches the Rfam family "Bacterial small subunit ribosomal RNA", at positions 524 to 776 of the family's 1533-position model. The record is from RNAcentral.
UACGGGGGGAGCAAGCGUUGUUCGGAUUUACUGGGCGUAAAGGGCGCGUAGGCGGUCAGCACAAGUCAGUUGUGAAAUCUCCGGGCUUAACUCGGAAAGGUCAACUGAUACUGUGCGACUAGAGUGCGGAAGGGGCAACUGGAAUUCUCGGUGUAGCGGUGAAAUGCGUAGAUAUCGAGAGGAACACCUGCGGCGAAGGCGGGUUGCUGGGCUGACACUGACGCUGAAGCGCGAAAGCUAGGGGAGCGAACGGG